CGGGAACCCACACUGUCAGUUGCGUCUGCAGACGUCGCCUCCCCUCCCUCCCCCGCCUCUUUGCACCCGCCCUCACCGCACCGGCUGCUUCCUGAGCGGCUGUAUCCUACCGCCCCCCUAACCCCGCUCCUCCGCCAGCAGCAAUUACGCCUAAUGGAAGCUCAGCGUGACGCAGCUCGAGGUUCUAGGCAUCUGAAGCGCUGGCGCUGAGCUCCGGUCCCCAGGGGCUGCUGGGGCCCUGUGUCUCUCUGGACGAGCUGCGGGCUGGAGGCCUCCAAAUGUCACCACCUGCGUCCACAUCACAUUCCAGUGCCCCAGAGCACCCGGCUGCCGGAUGAGAAGGGGAGGAAGCUCGAUGUGUGCCAGGAACGUCUCGGAACCAUUCAACAGGAGGCUGUUCUGCCAGAUGCUGCCUUUUGGGGGAGCAGAGCACGGUAAGAGGGGGCUGCUCUUCACAGGGCAGGGUGAGAGUGGGGAGUGCCAGAAGCUCUGCCCUCAGCCUCACGCCUGGCUCUAUCCAAACCAGAGGUCUCUGCAGAACCCAGGAAGGCCUUGGACAGAGGUAAUCCGGAACAUUCUGGUUUCAAAAAUGGGGAGCAGUGGCAAAGAAGUGGGGACCCUUGUUGAAGCCCAAGUCGUUCCUGCCUGUCAUGGGUGCCCUGGUGUGGCCAGGCCAACCCUGCCAAGGGCAGCAGCCAUGUCUGCUUCCAGCUUUCUGUGGGGGACAGUGGGGAGCUGGGUGCCCCACCGCUCACUCUGUCCAGAUUGCUGGAGAGAGGAGCAGGUAACUUCCCUUACCUCCCAGCCACGGGUGGGAGCUGGUUGACGUGGGUGGACUCACGUAGCCGGUGUAAGCCUCUUUGGGCUUCCCCAGAAGGGGAACCAGAACAUCUGGGACAUUUAUUUGGUUUUCCUGGGUGCUUAGGGGACCUGGGUUUGAGCCCCAAAUGCCACUCACUGAUUGGGGACUUUGAUCAGUGAUUCAGGAACCUGGGAUCUCUGAGCCUGAGGGAAGAGACACGCAUGCCUGAGGGUCCAGCCCAGGGGACCCCACUGGCUUAUGAUGGAGCCCCUACGGCUUAGCGUGGGCUCAGUACACCUUCCUGUCCUUUCCUAGGGCUGGAACACAUUCAGUUCCCUCUGUCACACUCCUCCCCUCCUCUCCCUGUCUUCACAGGGUGUGGGGUGCAUUCUUUAAGGAAAUAUGAGGCGCUCUUGCAAAAGAACACCCCACAUGCAUGGCUUAAGAUAACAGAGGUUUAUUGAUUGUUCUCACAGCGGUACAAAGCCCGUGUCCUGCUCUGUAGGGGCAGCUCCUCCUUGCAGCUAGGGAUGGAGGAAUCCUUUUGUCCUGUGCCUCUGUCUGCCCCACGGCACUUGCUUCCAGCUGGGGCAGGAGAUACUGGAUAAGACCCACCUGCCUCUUAGAAUCCUGGACCCCACCAUAGCACAUUAGAUCUUCCACGUUCACAAUGGCUUCCUCCUCCAGGAAGCCUGCCCUGAGUGGCACAGGGACCAGGUGUCCCUCUUCUGUGCACCCAGCAUCCUGUCCCUCUCUGAGUCUCACUGUGUGGUCAGUACUGUACUGUAAGCACCAGGAUCCUAUUUGGAUCCCGGAGUAGGAAGGAGCCCUUUGAUCUUAAAUUCUGUAUCCACCGGCACACGCCUCCUGCCUGACACAACAUGGACACAAUCAAAUUUUUCUGGGUGGACAGAGAGGUGGACGGACAUAGGCUUUGGGUGCAUGGGUGGACAGGAAAUAAAGACAGUCUGGUUUUCCAAGGAAACCUUGGUCUCCCAGCACCUUGGGACACCCCCCCUCACUUCUAGCUUUUCUGGUGGGUGAGUUCCUGGCUCUGUGGAAACUUCGGUACUGCCCCCAAUCCACCUUAGGAUCCUGCGGCCUGCUUUCCUUCCUGUUCCUCUGUCUCUGGGGACCCUGGGGGGGGGGGCGGAUGAGAGGCACCUAGUUCUGGCCAUCCCCUGCCACCUGGAAUCCAGCCAGCCCCUGACCACUGCUUCCUUCCUUCUCCCCAAGGCGAGGGCCCCUGGACAACUUCUGCUUCCCCUCCCGGUUCAGCCAGAUCUGCUGGGUCCAGCCCACACUUCUUCCUGGAAAGAAACAGCACCCAGCCACCCACCAGGCUGCUCCACGUUGGCCCCAGCCAAAGACUAAACCCCAAAGGAGGGAGGCCAGCGACCCUGCAAACAAGGCUCUCAAACCAGCAGCUGGGGAAAGGACACAGGUGGAGGGUGGAGGGCUUGGAUCCCCUUCUGCUGCCCAAGAGGAAGAAAUGAAUCCCCAGAGGCGUGGGUGACCUCUCUAUGCACUCACCCAGCACUUGAGGGCACAGAAUGGGAGCAGGUGAGGCCUGGGCCACAGCUCACUCUGAGGGCUCAGACUUAACUUCAGGGAGCCAAGGAGCAUUUAUUUAUAUCCCUGUUGCCUUCCUGGAGCAUUCAUUCCCCGAGUUUCCACCCAGGAAGUCUCAGCUAUGCCGCAGGAAGCUUUUCGGGUUCAACCUGGCACCAGAGUGUUCACAGGGACAACUGUCAGCCAUAGGAGCCGUAGUAAAGUGUGGUAUUUAUACCCAGUGGAAUGCCACCAUGCCGUCAAGAAUGAUAAACCCGAGUCAUUUGUAAGAACAUGGAUGCACCUUGAGAUCAUAAUGUCAAGUAAAAUAAAUCGGUCACAU
Molecule: long non-coding RNA, 2696 nt
Organism: Cavia porcellus (domestic guinea pig)
Lineage: Eukaryota; Metazoa; Chordata; Mammalia; Rodentia; Caviidae
Source: Ensembl